Molecule: long non-coding RNA, 825 nt
Organism: Podarcis muralis (Common wall lizard)
Lineage: Eukaryota; Metazoa; Chordata; Lepidosauria; Squamata; Lacertidae
Source: RefSeq, a predicted model, not a curated record
GUUUCAAAACGGCGUCCUCCUCCUCCGCGCUCGGAACUCCCCCCUCCCAUCUUCUCCGCCGUUGCCCAGCAACGCCGGGCCUGUAAGGCUAGUUUGGAGCCCAGCUGGAGUUCAUCAGGGGGAGGGCUGGUGAAACUCCUCCGCGCUUUCUUCUUAGGAUUUUCUUUAUUUAUCUAUUUAUAUGUCCAUCUAUCUAGGUGUGUUAUGCCUUUGCCUGCAUUCGUAUAGGCGCUCCUCGCUGUGGGAGUGAGGCCCACAGUGGGGCUUUACAUGACAGGGUGAGAGCUUUCCUUGAGCUGUGUGUCAGUUCAGUCCGACCGUAUGCAUGCUUACUCACGAGUAAGGCCCACAAUGGGAUUUACGCCCGAAGCAAGGGGAAGGAAUACAGUCCUAUCCCGCUGGACAAGAGAAGAAAGAGAUAUUGUCUAAAACAUCACACAUCCUUAUCAGCCUAUUGCAUGUGUGAAGAAUGAGAAGGAGGGCUAUGAUGGUACUCCAGAACGUCUUCUCAAAGACCCUCCUGGGGCAUAGAAAGGACUCACUGAUUCUGUUGUGGCUGUGCAACAGUCUCCAGCAGCUAUACAGAUUGCAAGGGAGGAGAGUCUGACAUAAAGCUAUACAUUUUAAAAUGUAUCUAAGCCAAAGAGUUUGAAGCUGAACUGCAAACCAUGGUUUUCCAAACUACUGACACCAAUUAUGACCAAGCGGCUGCUGCAGCAUGGAGACUGGAGUGAAACCAAUGAAGCUGAAUUCUGAGCAGAAAGAAGGAAGGAAAGCCACUCUAUACUGUUACACCUUGGUUCUCAAACGCCUUGAUACUCAUAC